GCGGGGGGCCCCAGUUGGCAGCCACUUAUCUCAUCGUAGCCCUUAUCUUCCUCACGGGCUCACGCGCGGCGGGGAGAGAGAGGACGUCACCGAUCGGCCAUGUCCGCAGCCACCGCGUGCGCCUCGCCGGCGGCGGCGCGCCCGCCCCUCCACAUCCCCCUCCGCUCGCCUCCUUCCGCCGCGCACCUUCCCUCCGCCGCCGCCUCCCGCCGGGCCUCCUCCGCCGCUUGCCGCUGCACCGCCUCCGCCUCCGCCUCCGCCUCGCCCUCCACCUGGGAUUGGACCCGCUGGACCCGCCACUUCGCCGACGUCGACCAGGCCGAGAGCUACGCCUCCCUCCUCAAGUUCCAGCUCGAGGAGGCCGUCGACAACGAGGACUUCGCGGAAGCCUCCAAGCUCAAGAAGGCCAUACUCGAGGCCACGGGCAACGACGCCGUCGCCCAAGUCAUGUCUGAACUCAAGACUGCUAUAGAGGAACAGAGGUAUCAGGACGCCUCAAGGUUGACAAAGCUUGCCAGAACCAACUUGGUAGGUUGGUGGGUGGGGUACGCUAAGGAUACCGAUGAUUCGAUCGGGAGAAUCGUACGGAUAAGCCCCGGUGUUGGGAGAUAUGUGGCUAAGAGCUUCAGCCCAAGGCAAUUGGUUACUGCAUCGUCAGGAACUCCAUUAUUUGAAAUUUUCCUUGUCAGAGAUGACGAUGAGACAUAUACAAUGAAGGUUGUACACAUGCGACCAACAAAAGGCACUUCAAGUGCAUCAUCCGUAUCAUCAGCAACUGCAGAAAGUCCAGCUAAGGAAGAGAAUGAAAGCUCAUUGGAAAGUAGUGCUAUAUCUGAGGGCAUUACCGAUGAAGCGAAUACAGAUACUACAUUAAAGGGAGAUGAAGAUGUUGAGGAUAAAGAACAAGAUGUUGGUAACGCCAAGGAUAGUAGUGUUGAAGGGUUGAAAAGCGUUCUGAAUUUCUUCAAGUCUCGGAUUCCUGAAUUCAAAGUUCAAGUAAUAAAUGUAGAUGUGUCUGAGGAAGCUGAAUUAGCUUCAGAUUCGUCAGAAGAAUUAGUGCAAGAUGAUGUGAAGAGCACGUCAGAGAACUCAUUGGAAGAUUCUACCACUGAGGAGCUUCAGCAGGAUGAUGUUCCAGAUGGAGAUUCAGACUCAGCUGAAGAUAGUAAAAGUCCAGAAAUGAAGCUCUUCAUUAGUGGAGUGGUUCAUAACAAGGAGGAUGCUGGAGCAAAAUCAUAUGUUCGAGUUCCAGCUGAAAUCAAUAAUUUGGAAAAGGAUUCCUUCGAACUUUACAUUCCUGGAAAAGGUUCUGAUCGAGAUCUGGCUGAUACAAAGGCUGCAAAACAGAAAGUUGCUGAUAUGGCUGCCAAAUUGGCAUCAGAACUUAUGCCUUCUGAUGUUGCGAAGGCAUUAUGGGGAACGACCAAGAGUUCUUCGAAGAUAAAUAAAGAAGUACAAGAGCUCUUAAAGCUUACCCUCAGCAAGGCUCGAGUCAAGCUGACUGAGAAUACAAUUUUCAAUAGGAUCAUUACUGACAGUAACGGCUCAGAUCCAUUUAGUGGUCUCUAUGUGGGAGCAUUUAGUCCAUAUGGACCAGAAGUUGUGCAGCUCCGUCGAAAGUUCGGCCAUUGGAACAGCACAGAUGAAGUGGAGUUUUUCGAGUAUGUUGAAGCAGUAAAGUUGACUGGUGAUCUGAGUGUCCCUGCUGGACAGAUAACAUUCCGUGCUAAGAUUGGGAAGGGCAAACGUCUUGAGAACCGUGGUGCAUACCCUGAAGAAUUUGGUGUGAUUGCUAGCUAUAAAGGUCAAGGGAGAAUUGCACAGCCUGGCUUCAAAAAUCCCCGGUGGGUGGAUGGUGAGCUAUUGGUGCUCAAUGGCAAGGUCAUUAGUGGAGAAAAUGGUUCUUGUCACCAGAUCGAAGCUUAGGGUGACACUUCUAUGAGUGACUUCCACAGUUGAAAAAAGUUAGUGGUCCAGGUACCGAGGUUUGUAUACGGUACCUGAGAAGUCCAACAUUAUAGGUCAUUUUCAUUUGCAAAUUAUAAACUGGGCAGAAGAGCACGAUCCCACACCUUGGAGGUGCGGAGCUUGGUUUCCUGUACAGCGUGCCUGAGCAGAGUUUCUUGGUACUCUUUGACCGGCUUAAACUUCCAGAGUGAUGAGAUUAUGCUGAAUCGAGCUGUUCUCACAUGCAAAUUGCAUGAGUACAGAGAGAAGCUGACACAGUUUCAAGAGAAACGUAUAGAUGUCCCGUCAUCUUCCUGAAAUCCUGAGAUGCCUCAGCUCCUUUAUUAGUCAGCUCCUACUUGACAGGAGCUGACCUGUUUGAGCUUUUUCAGGGUAUAAGAGAGCUGACUAUUCUGGUCUAACUGAAUACUGCUAUUCUUGUCCAAUGGAAAACUGGAGCUUCAUAUGAGAUCAUGCUAGGCUCUUAGAUGACGCGGUAUAGAUAUAAUUUGUGUGACAGUUUUGCAUUCGGUUUUGCCUUAAUAAUGAAGGAUGGGAAAGUUUUGUAUUGUCUGGAUGCUACAGAUAAAUAAAGCCUUAUCUUUCAAUACA
Oryza sativa Japonica Group (Japanese rice) is the source of this 2559-nucleotide RNA transcript. It is a transcript of the gene named protein EXECUTER 2, chloroplastic-like, with no coding region annotated. The record is from RefSeq and is marked validated. Lineage: Eukaryota; Viridiplantae; Streptophyta; Magnoliopsida; Poales; Poaceae.